AAACAGCUUGACCUGAUUACGAAUUCGAGCUCGGUACCCGGGGAUCCUCUAGAGAUUAUUCUGGUUGAUCCUGCCGGACCUGACUGCUAUCGGAUUGGUACUAAGCCAUGCGAGUCAUUGUAGCAAUACAAGGCGGACGGCUCAGUAACACGUAGUCAACCUAACUCGUGGACGUGGAUAACCUCGGGAAACUGAGAAUAAACCACGAUAGAUCAUAGUGCCUGGAAUGGCUUAUGGUCCAAACAGUUUACUGCCAUGGGAUGGGACUGCGGCCUAUCAGCUUGUUGGUGAGGUAAUGGCCCACCAAGGCGAUUACAGGUACGGGCUCUGAGAGGAGAAGCCCGGAGAUGGGUACUGAGACACGGACCCAGGCCCUAUGGGGCGCAGCAGGCGAGAAACCUUACAAUGUGCGAAAGCACGACUGGGUCAGUCCGAGUGAUUCCUGAUAAAGGAGUCUUUUGCUUGCCUAAAAGCACAGG
RNAcentral lists this ribosomal RNA (479 nucleotides) under uncultured marine crenarchaeote. Its description in RNAcentral is "bacterial SSU rRNA". The stretch from base 58 to 479 matches the Rfam family "Archaeal small subunit ribosomal RNA", at positions 1 to 431 of the family's 1478-position model. The record is from RNAcentral. Lineage: Archaea; Thermoproteati; Thermoproteota.